This 584-nucleotide ribosomal RNA is filed under the name Colletotrichum simmondsii. RNAcentral describes it as "eukaryotic LSU rRNA". The stretch from base 215 to 368 matches the Rfam family "5.8S ribosomal RNA". The record is from RNAcentral. Lineage: Eukaryota; Fungi; Ascomycota; Sordariomycetes; Glomerellales; Glomerellaceae.
CUUCCGUAGGGGAACCUGCGGAGGGAUCAUUACUGAGUUACCGCUCUAUAACCCUUUGUGAACAUACCUAACCGUUGCUUCGGCGGGCAGGGGAAGCCUCUCGCGGGCCUCCCCUCCCGGCGCCGGCCCCCACCACGGGGACGGGGCGCCCGCCGGAGGAAACCAAACUCUAUUUACACGACGUCUCUUCUGAGUGGCACAAGCAAAUAAUUAAAACUUUUAACAACGGAUCUCUUGGUUCUGGCAUCGAUGAAGAACGCAGCGAAAUGCGAUAAGUAAUGUGAAUUGCAGAAUUCAGUGAAUCAUCGAAUCUUUGAACGCACAUUGCGCUCGCCAGCAUUCUGGCGAGCAUGCCUGUUCGAGCGUCAUUUCAACCCUCAAGCACCGCUUGGUUUUGGGGCCCCACGGCACACGUGGGCCCUUAAAGGUAGUGGCGGACCCUCCCGGAGCCUCCUUUGCGUAGUAACUAACGUCUCGCACUGGGAUCCGGAGGGACUCUUGCCGUAAAACCCCCCAAUUCUUUACAGGUUGACCUCGGAUCAGGUAGGAAUACCCGCUGAACUUAAGCAUAUCAAUAAGGCGGA